AUUGAACGCUAGCGGGAUGCUUUACACAUGCAAGUCGAACGAGUGGCGGACGGGUGAGUAAUAUAUCGGAACGUGCCCAGUAGCGGGGGAUAACUACUCGAAAGAGUGGCUAAUACCGCCUAACAUGGGAGCGGCCGAUAGCGGGUUAGCUCGUUGGUGGGGUAAAGGCUCACCAAGGCAACGAUCCGUAGCUGGUUUGAGAGGACGACCAGCCCCACUGGGACUGGGACACGGCCCAGCCUCCUACGGGAGGCGGCAGGGGGGAAUUUUGGACAAUGGGGGAAACCCUGAUCCAGCCAUCCCGGGUGUAUGUGAAGGCCUACGGGUUGUAAAGUACUUUUGGCAGAGAAGCGGUAUCUGCAGAAUAAGCACCGGCUAACUACGUGCCAGCAGCCGCGGUAAUUC
This 405-nucleotide ribosomal RNA is filed under the name uncultured bacterium. RNAcentral's name for it is "partial 16S ribosomal RNA". It matches the Rfam family "Bacterial small subunit ribosomal RNA", at positions 30 to 526 of the family's 1533-position model. The record is from RNAcentral.